Molecule: transfer RNA, 64 nt
Filed under: Graphomya rufitibia
Lineage: Eukaryota; Metazoa; Arthropoda; Insecta; Diptera; Muscidae
Description: tRNA-Cys
Source: RNAcentral
AACUUUAUAGUCAAUAAUGAUAUUAGAUUGCAAAUCUGAAGGAGUAAUAAAAUUACUAAAGUUU